AUUGAACGCUGGCGGCAGGCCUAACACAUGCAAGUCGAGCGGAUGAAGGGAGCUUGCUCCUGGAUUCAGCGGCGGACGGGUGAGUAAUGCCUAGGAAUCUGCCUAGUAGUGGGGGAUAACGUCCGGAAACGGGCGCUAAUACCGCAUACGUCCUGAGGGAGAAAGUGGGGGAUCUUCGGACCUCACGCUAUCAGAUGAGCCUAGGUCGGAUUAGCUAGUUGGUGGGGUAAAGGCCUACCAAGGCGACGAUCCGUAACUGGUCUGAGAGGAUGAUCAGUCACACUGGAACUGAGACACGGUCCAGACUCCUACGGGAGGCAGCAGUGGGGAAUAUUGGACAAUGGGCGAAAGCCUGAUCCAGCCAUGCCGCGUGUGUGAAGAAGGUCUUCGGAUUGUAAAGCACUUUAAGUUGGGAGGAAGGGCAGUAAGUUAAUACCUUGCUGUUUUGACGUUACCAACAGAAUAAGCACCGGCUAACUUCGUG
This 484-nucleotide ribosomal RNA is filed under the name uncultured bacterium. RNAcentral describes it as "partial 16S ribosomal RNA". It matches the Rfam family "Bacterial small subunit ribosomal RNA", at positions 30 to 507 of the family's 1533-position model. The record is from RNAcentral.